RNAcentral lists this non-coding RNA (531 nucleotides) under Boudabousia liubingyangii. RNAcentral's name for it is "Actinomyces liubingyangii Bacterial large subunit ribosomal RNA". It matches the Rfam family "Bacterial large subunit ribosomal RNA", at positions 1 to 490 of the family's 2925-position model. Lineage: Bacteria; Bacillati; Actinomycetota; Actinomycetes; Actinomycetales; Actinomycetaceae. The record is from Rfam by way of RNAcentral.
UUGUUAGUUUUUAAGGGCAUUCGGUGGAUGCCUUGGUACCAGAAGCCGAUGAAGGACGUGUUGGCCUGCGAUAAGCCUCGGGGAGUUGGCGAAUGAGCGUUGAUCCGGGGGUGUCCGAAUGGGGAAACCUAGCCAGGGGUUAAGCCUGGUUACCUGCAUCUGAAUUGUAUAGGGUGUAGGAGGGAACGCGGGGAAGUGAAACAUCUCAGUACCCGUAGGAAAAGAUAUUCUGUGAGUAGUGGCGAGCGAAAGCGGAUGAUGGCCAAACCAUGGGCGUGUGAUACUCGGCAGGGGUUGCGUUUGUGGUGUUGUGGGAGCAGGAUUGAUUGGGUCUGCCGGCCUUUUCGCAUAGUUAUAAAGUGAUAGUUUAGGUGAAUAGCAUUGAAUGGCUGACCGUAGUGCGUGAUAGUCGUGUAAUCGUAUUUCUAUUGCCUAUGUUUUUUGUUUCCCAAGUAGCACGGGGCUCGUGAAAUCUCGUGUGAAUCUGCCCAGACCACUGGGUAAGCCUGAAUACUUUCUGGUGACCGAUAG